GCCCCACACCGAACUCUGGUUAGACGCCACGAGGGGCCGGUGGUCCGUGUCUACUCCUUUCCCCUCGCUCCCGGGACCCCCGCCCGCCCCGCCUACGCCUUCCCUUCCCCUGCUUCUCUACCCCGAGACCCCAACUGGCGCGAAGGCUCUGUACCCAGUGUCGCGAUUCUGUUUUACUUCGGUAACUCCUUGCUCUGCGGGAAUGUAAUAAAUACUUUUUGUUGAGUUACAGGCCUGCGGUCUGGAGAGAGCAAGGACUUGAGGAUGAGCACGUAUCACGCGGGCCCCAGUCCCGCGACCACCCGACAAGGUUCUUUCUGGUCGCAGGACCCCAAGAGGCCGAAAGCUGGGGGCCCAGAGCGCAGACGGUAGGCGCUCUGCACCUGGGCUUCGGAUCCAUCACCGCGGGUUUGUUCUGCCCCUCAUGGUCCAAGGGUCCGGCACAUACAGCGCUUCGCCGGCUGAGCCCCGCUGUGUGCCGAGCCGGGUGACCGCUCCCAUCGGGGAGCAAGCUGAGCGCUCGUGGACACGGCAUAAGCCACAAAGCCGUUGUGAACCGGGCUGCUGGCAGGCUGUCCCCAGCUCCGGGAGCCAAUGGCUGACAGCCAGGUUGGCCCUGGCCGUUGGGAAGGCCACCGCCAACAAUAGUAUUCCAAACUGGUUGCUCUCGAUUUUUAAAGAGCCUGUGUUUCUCUUGAGGUUCCUGAGCUGAGUGGAGAAACACUGACCCUUGAGUUUCUCCUGCACCGUAGUGACUGAGUCAGGGGCGGGGCCGCCAGGCUUGGGCAGAGGAUGGAGUUACUGCGCCCAGUACCCGACUGUUUAGUGUCCAGCCAUGUGCGCGCACUGCACCCGGGCCUGCGUGGGGAAACAGGGAGCGCAGACAGGGCCUCUGCGCCUGAGCGGCUGCUGUUCUAGGGGAACAGGCUCGACAGACAUCAUUUUGUAAGAAACUGCCAGUAAUGAGACUGAUAGGAAGAAUGACAAAGUGAAAGAGAUAAAUGGAGAGAGACAGGAAUGGGAGUCCUAGAUCAGGUGGUCAGCAGGCUCUCUGGACAGGUGACCCUUGAGCAGGGAGCUUAAGAACCACACCUUGUUCCAGGGAAGGAUGUCCCUGGCUGAAGUAGGUCAGUGCAAAGGCCAGAAGCAGGGGAUCCAGAGAAGGUGAGUGCGGCCAGAGAAGGAACAGGAGCACCCAGAGGGUGGGAGGGGUGGCUGGGUCUGGACCUGGGUUCUGACUUCAGCCUCGAUGACCUGGGGCACUUGAGAGGGUUUCUGGUGGGGAGUUUUUUUAUUAUGCUCAAAUUAUUUUCUCUUGGCAUAAUUUCAGAUUACCACAAAAGUGGCAAGAAUAGUGUGAGAAUUCCCAGAUUCUCACGGAUUCCCAGAUAUUAAACUUUUACUAAGAGAGUGUGAGGCAUCUGGAAAUGGGGUCUUUGAGGGUGUGAUCAACUCAAGAUGAGGUUGUACUGGACAAAGAAGGGAGCUCUAAAUCCAAUAAGACUGAUGUCCUCAUAAGAGGGAAUUGUGGCCACAGAGCCAAGGAGGGGAGACAGCCACAUGAAGACAGAGGCACAGGCUGGAGUCAUCUGGGCACAAGACAAGAACACGGGCAACUAGCAGGAGCUGAAAGAGAUGGGGGGACCCUCUGCCAGAGCCCUCAGAAGGAGUGAGGCCUCCAGGAUUGUGAGAGACAAUUUGCCUAUUCUGGAUGUUUCAUAUAAAUGGAAUCAUCUAGCAUGUGGUCUCUUGUGACUGGCUUCCUUCACUUAGCGUUUUUUCAAGGGAGUCAACAUCAAGUCUUCUGAAACAUGCUGCCAUGGAGGAGAGGAGAAGGAGUGGCAGAGUGGGUUUAACUGUUGAUAUUAAUUGCUGCAUGUGGGCUUGGGGGCAGGUGUCUCCCUCUCCUCUCAUGUAAGCAUGUGGAGGAGUUUCCCCAGCCCGUCUCCACUGCUUCCUCUGUCCUAGGUAAGGAGGAGCAAUGUAUCUGAUUGGUCAGUUUGGAAGAAUAAGUGGGAAAGUUUGGCCCAGCCAAGGGAAAAAAUUAAGUCUUGGGGUCCAUGAACAUGGAAUGUCUAUUUAUUUAAGUCUACUUUACUUUCCCCAUGAUGUUGUGUCAAUUUCAGAAUGUAAGUUUUAUACUCAGUAGGUUCUUUAAAAUUUUUUUUAUUUAAAAAAGUUUUAUUGGAUUACAGUUGAUCUACAGUGUUGUGUUAGUUUCGGGUGUACAGCAAAGUGAGCCAGUUAUACAUACACAUAUGUCCACUCUUCUAGAUUCUUUGCCCAUAUAGGCCUGUACUCAGUAACUUCCUACGGCACCUGUCAAGUCCUCACUUUGUAAAGCAGGCCUAUUAGGGUUCCUGGUUAUUCCUCUGCUCACCCUUCCCCACACCACCAUGUCCUACCUUCCAUGACUAAUACCGUUUCCACUAAUAACAACAGCUUAACCCAGCUUAAGCACAAGCCCGGCACUGUUCUAGGAACUUGGCCUACAGUAACUAAUGGAAUCUUCAUAACUAUCCUAGGAGAGGAGGCCAGUGACUUGCCCAAGGUCUGCAACUAAUGGGGAGCAGAGCCAGAAUUCCACCCAGGCUGUCAGACGCCUGCAUCUCUGCUUUUCUUCAUCGACUUCCUUGCCUGUUUUGCAAUGGCAGUUGGGAUAUGUGAGGUUGAACCCCAUGAAGCAGCUGAUGUUUGACCACUUUUUAAAAUUAAUUUAUUGGGAUUUCCCUGGUGGUCCAGUGGCUAAGACUCUGUGCUCCCUCUGCAGGGGGUCCAACCAUGGUCAGGGAACUGGAUCCCACAUGCUGUAACUAAGAGUUCAUAUGCUGCAAGUAGAGAUCUGGUGUGCCCCAGUGAAGACCCAGUGAAGCCAAAUAGUAUAUAAAUAAAAGUUUACCUAUAAUUAAUUUAUCUAUUUUUGGCUGCACUGGUCUUCACUGCUGCAUUUG
Molecule: long non-coding RNA, 2951 nt
Organism: Bubalus bubalis (water buffalo)
Lineage: Eukaryota; Metazoa; Chordata; Mammalia; Artiodactyla; Bovidae
Exons: 3
Source: RefSeq, a predicted model, not a curated record